This 518-nucleotide ribosomal RNA is filed under the name uncultured bacterium. RNAcentral describes it as "bacterial SSU rRNA". It matches the Rfam family "Bacterial small subunit ribosomal RNA", at positions 28 to 532 of the family's 1533-position model. The record is from RNAcentral.
GACGAACGCUGGCGGCGUGGAUUAGGCAUGCAAGUCGGACGGUAGGGCUUUAUCGUAAGAUAGAGUUUGAGAGUGGCGAACGGGUGAGUAACACGUAGGAAUCUACCCUUAAGACGGGGACAACCCAGGGAAACUUGGGCUAAUACCGGAUGAGAGUGCGAGAGAUUGCAUUUAAAAGGAUGGCGAAAGUUGUCGCUUAGGGAUGAGCCUGCGGUCUAUUAGUUAGUUGGUGAGGUAAGAGCUCACCAAGGCGAUGAUAGAUAGGCGGCCUUAACGGGUGGUCGCCCACACUGGGAUUGAGAUACGGGUCCCACUCCUACGGGAGGCAGCAGGCUAGAAAUUUGGGCAAUGGGGGAAACCCUGACCCAGUGACGCCGCGUGCAGGAAGGAGCCCUUCGGGGUGUAAACUGCUGUCGUGUAGGGAGAAGGGUACUAAGGUGAACAAUCUUAGUACUUGACGGUACUACAGGAGGAAGCCCAGGCUAACCUCGUGCCAGCAGCCGCGGUAAAGCUACGUA